This 2771-nucleotide ribosomal RNA is filed under the name Klebsiella pneumoniae. Its description in RNAcentral is "bacterial LSU rRNA". It matches the Rfam family "Bacterial large subunit ribosomal RNA". Lineage: Bacteria; Pseudomonadati; Pseudomonadota; Gammaproteobacteria; Enterobacterales; Enterobacteriaceae. The record is from RNAcentral.
AGCGUACACGGUGGAUGCCCUGGCAGUCAGAGGCGAUGAAGGACGUGCUAAUCUGCGAAAAGCGUCGGUAAGGUGAUAUGAACCGUUAUAGCCGGCGAUGUCCGAAUGGGGAAACCCAGUGCAAUUCGUUGCACUAUCGUUAACUGAAUACAUAGGUUAACGAGGCGAACCGGGGGAACUGAAACAUCUAAGUACCCCGAGGAAAAGAAAUCAACCGAGAUUCCCCCAGUAGCGGCGAGCGAACGGGGAGCAGCCCAGAGUCUGAAUCAGCUUGUGUGUUAGUGGAACGGUCUGGAAAGUCCGACGGUACAGGGUGAUAGUCCCGUACACCAAAAUGCACAGGCUGUGAACUCGAAGAGUAGGGCGGGACACGUGGUAUCCUGUCUGAAUAUGGGGGGACCAUCCUCCAAGGCUAAAUACUCCUGACUGACCGAUAGUGAACCAGUACCGUGAGGGAAAGGCGAAAAGAACCCCGGCGAGGGGAGUGAAAAAGAACCUGAAACCGUGUACGUACAAGCAGUGGGAGCACCUUCGGGUGUGACUGCGUACCUUUUGUAUAAUGGGUCAGCGACUUAUAUUCUGUAGCAAGGUUAACCGUAUAGGGGAGCCGCAGGGAAACCGAGUCUUAACUGGGCGUUAAGUUGCAGGGUAUAGACCCGAAACCCGGUGAUCUAGCCAUGGGCAGGUUGAAGGUUGGGUAACACUAACUGGAGGACCGAACCGACUAAUGUUGAAAAAUUAGCGGAUGACUUGUGGCUGGGGGUGAAAGGCCAAUCAAACCGGGAGAUAGCUGGUUCUCCCCGAAAGCUAUUUAGGUAGCGCCUCGUGAAUUCAUCUUCGGGGGUAGAGCACUGUUUCGGCUAGGGGGUCAUCCCGACUUACCAACCCGAUGCAAACUACGAAUACCGAAGAAUGUUAUCACGGGAGACACACGGCGGGUGCUAACGUCCGUCGUGAAGAGGGAAACAACCCAGACCGCCAGCUAAGGUCCCAAAGUCAUGGUUAAGUGGGAAACGAUGUGGGAAGGCACAGACAGCCAGGAUGUUGGCUUAGAAGCAGCCAUCAUUUAAAGAAAGCGUAAUAGCUCACUGGUCGAGUCGGCCUGCGCGGAAGAUGUAACGGGGCUAAACCAUGCACCGAAGCUGCGGCAGCGACACUAUGUGUUGUUGGGUAGGGGAGCGUUCUGUAAGCCUGCGAAGGUGACCUGUGAGGGUUGCUGGAGGUAUCAGAAGUGCGAAUGCUGACAUAAGUAACGAUAAAGCGGGUGAAAAGCCCGCUCGCCGGAAGACCAAGGGUUCCUGUCCAACGUUAAUCGGGGCAGGGUGAGUCGACCCCUAAGGCGAGGCCGAAAGGCGUAGUCGAUGGGAAACAGGUUAAUAUUCCUGUACUUGGUGUUACUGCGAAGGGGGGACGGAGAAGGCUAUGUUAGCCGGGCGACGGUUGUCCCGGUUUAAGCAUGUAGGCUGAUUAUCCAGGCAAAUCCGGAUAAUCAAGGCUGAGGUGUGAUGACGAGGCACUACGGUGCUGAAGUAACAAAUGCCCUGCUUCCAGGAAAAGCCUCUAAGCAUCAGGUAACAUCAAAUCGUACCCCAAACCGACACAGGUGGUCAGGUAGAGAAUACCAAGGCGCUUGAGAGAACUCGGGUGAAGGAACUAGGCAAAAUGGUGCCGUAACUUCGGGAGAAGGCACGCUGGUGUGUAGGUGAAGCCCCUGCGGGUGGAGCUGAGACCAGUCGAAGAUACCAGCUGGCUGCAACUGUUUAUUAAAAACACAGCACUGUGCAAACACGAAAGUGGACGUAUACGGUGUGACGCCUGCCCGGUGCCGGAAGGUUAAUUGAUGGGGUUAUCCGUAAGGAGAAGCUCUUGAUCGAAGCCCCGGUAAACGGCGGCCGUAACUAUAACGGUCCUAAGGUAGCGAAAUUCCUUGUCGGGUAAGUUCCGACCUGCACGAAUGGCGUAAUGAUGGCCAGGCUGUCUCCACCCGAGACUCAGUGAAAUUGAACUCGCUGUGAAGAUGCAGUGUACCCGCGGCAAGACGGAAAGACCCCGUGAACCUUUACUAUAGCUUGACACUGAACAUUGAGCCUUGAUGUGUAGGAUAGGUGGGAGGCUUUGAAGCGUGGACGCCAGUCUGCGUGGAGCCAACCUUGAAAUACCACCCUUUAAUGUUUGAUGUUCUAACGUUGGCCCCUUACCGGGGUUGCGGACAGUGUCUGGUGGGUAGUUUGACUGGGGCGGUCUCCUCCCAAAGCGUAACGGAGGAGCACGAAGGUUAGCUAAUCCUGGUCGGACAUCAGGAGGUUAGUGCAAUGGCAUAAGCUAGCUUGACUGCGAGCGUGACGGCGCGAGCAGGUGCGAAAGCAGGUCAUAGUGAUCCGGUGGUUCUGAAUGGAAGGGCCAUCGCUCAACGGAUAAAAGGUACUCCGGGGAUAACAGGCUGAUACCGCCCAAGAGUUCAUAUCGACGGCGGUGUUUGGCACCUCGAUGUCGGCUCAUCACAUCCUGGGGCUGAAGUAGGUCCCAAGGGUAUGGCUGUUCGCCAUUUAAAGUGGUACGCGAGCUGGGUUUAGAACGUCGUGAGACAGUUCGGUCCCUAUCUGCCGUGGGCGCUGGAGAAUUGAGGGGGGCUGCUCCUAGUACGAGAGGACCGGAGUGGACGCAUCACUGGUGUUCGGGUUGUCAUGCCAAUGGCACUGCCCGGUAGCUAAAUGCGGAAGAGAUAAGUGCUGAAAGCAUCUAAGCACGAAACUUGCCCCGAGAUGAGUUCU